This 805-nucleotide long non-coding RNA is filed under the name Equus caballus (horse). RNAcentral describes it as "lncRNA (ENSECAG00000049198.1)". Lineage: Eukaryota; Metazoa; Chordata; Mammalia; Perissodactyla; Equidae. The record is from RNAcentral.
GUUUAGAGUCCCCAGUGACCUCAAAGCCCUCCUCUCAUUAGGAGAAAACACCUGCCAGUCCCCAGGCUGACUCAAGACGGGGGCCAUUUAUUAGAUAAACCAAACGACUCCAGUCCUGCAGGAGCCCCCAGCCCAUGGUGGACACAGAGAAGGCCGGUUCCAUAAUACUAAGGGGAGUCCCUGAAGGUCUCUGAGCAGAAGUAUGCUGCAGCAAGAGCAGGUACUCUUGCAGCUGCUGAAGGAUGUACUGCAGUGGAAGCCAGCUGAGACCUGAGCUAAUGCCACUGCGGCCACCACUACUCUAGACUGGGGAGAAAAGAUAAAGAUGGCAACAGGACGCGAGUGGAGAGUAGUUGCAGAUGACCUCUAGAGCCCCUCCUAGCUCUUUCUAGAGUCGACGACUUCAAGAUGGGUAAGACGUACUCCCACCGGCCUGCCUGGGCCCCGGGCUGUGGAGCACGGCGCCUCCAAGCUGGCGCCCUGACGACGAGAGCCACUCCUGACGCCUCUCGCCCGCGGCCGCCAGCGGCACGGAAAGUAUGGCACGCACCCAGGGUGGUGCGUGAGGGCAGAGGAGCAGGCCAGGAGCGCGGCCGGGCAUGGGCCGAGGCAGGGCCUUCUCGGCUUGCCAUGGACCUGCCCCGCUGCAGCCCAGACCUCACGCCCCAAACCCAGGACAUCCAGAGCGGCGGAGACCGGAUUCCCAGACCGCAGGGCCCGUACACGCUGCGAGGAGGCUGCGCGGGGAAGGGCUGGGCGGAGCUCCGCAGGGGCGGGGACAGGUGAUUGGGUGGCACCGCCAGGG